This 253-nucleotide ribosomal RNA is filed under the name uncultured bacterium. Its description in RNAcentral is "partial 16S ribosomal RNA". It matches the Rfam family "Bacterial small subunit ribosomal RNA", at positions 524 to 776 of the family's 1533-position model. The record is from RNAcentral.
UACGUAGGGCGCAAGCGUUGUCCGGAAUCAUUGGGCGUAAAGCGCACGUAGGCGGUUCGUUAUGUCGGAUGUGAAAGCCCUCGGCUUAACCGGGGAAGUGCAUCCGAAACUGGCGAGCUUGAGUACUAAAGAGGGUCGCGGAAUUCCCGGUGUAGAGGUGAAAUUCGUAGAUAUCGGGAGGAACACCAGCGGCGAAGGCGGCGACCUGGGUAGAUACUGACGCUGAGGUGCGAAAGCGUGGGGAGCAAACAGG